Molecule: RNA transcript, 10515 nt
Organism: Lutra lutra (Eurasian river otter)
Lineage: Eukaryota; Metazoa; Chordata; Mammalia; Carnivora; Mustelidae
Gene name: translation initiation factor IF-2-like
Exons: 2
Source: RefSeq, a predicted model, not a curated record
UUCGCUACUUAGUGAGUAUUUAAAUAUUAAUGAAGGGACUUCUAAGAAGAGCCUGUAGGGCAGGCCGGCCUUCCGCGGGCAGACCGGGGAGCUGCUCUUGAACCCGCAGCCCCGUCCAGCUUGGCAAGAGCUCCGCGGCCGUCGUUCAAAUUCAGGAACUUGUUAUUUGUGAAAUACAGUUUCUGAUCUCAGGUGUGCGGACCAUUUGUCAGAGAGAAUCUUGUCGGACACAUAAGAUAGCCGUAGCAGCUAUCUUCACCAGAAUAGAAAAAAGAGAGAAAGCAAGCAUCUGUUUUUAGGGGCGAUGUGUUUGGAAGGGUGAUCUGGAAGCAGCAAUCCCUUUUUGAAAAAUUGACAUCUUUCAUUCCUUUCCUCAGCCAGCCAAAGCGCCGCUUCUUUUUUUUUUUUUUUUUUUUUUUUUUUUAAUUUUUUUUUCCCCUGCUGGUCAAGCAUUUAUGGAGAGCGGGCUUCAGGGGCGGCAGUCAAGCGUUGGCAGCCACUGGGCCGGUUGAGUGAAAGGCCCUUGUGUGGAGGCUCUUGUUUAUGGUGGCAUAAAACGAAAAACAACUCAUAACUUUUCGUAAUAAAUCCCCCUUUAUAGGCGGCUCACACACAGGCCCAGCCGGCGGCCCUGGGGAGUUUGUGGGGAGCAAGAAAUGGGUGAAGGAAUGCGCGUUUGCCAUAAUUACAGGGUUGUAAGGUAACGCUGAAAUUAAUUUCUUCAAAGUUGGGUUUCAGAAGCCAGGGCGGUCUCUGCAGGCCGUCACUGUCUCCGUUUUAUUUUCGUUCGUUGGUUCUAGCCAUUUAGGAUUUUAAAAUGCAUGUUUGUAUUCACGGGCACCUAUCCUGUUAAAGUGAAACCCGUCCUGGGGGUGGCAGGGGCGGGAUUAAGGACGCUUUUUCGUACCAUCCUAUCACAGUACGAUUUCCCCUCUGCUCUCCCCAUCUUACUGAUGUGGUUUGGAGAACCUUAAUGGGCGAUUUGACCACAAAAUAAUGGGCAGGGGGGGCCCCUGUUUCCAUAACGCCCCAGAGUUGUGAGCUGGUACCUGAAGGCCAUGUUUCCGGGAACAUGGACAGAGGCCCAAAUCGCCCAGGCCUGCCUCACGACAGCCUCUCCCCGGGCUGCCUGGUUCCGUAGAAUCCGGAGGAGAGAGGAGACUGUUCAGCUUAGAUAUGGCCAACUCCGGGUGCAGAGGCCAAAAGUUUGCUCCAGCGCUGCGUACUGGACCGCGGGGGCCGUCCCUUCUGCUAGGCCGCUCUCCCCCCACCCCCUCACACCACCUCCCCACCUCCCCCAUUUUGAAUUUUUAUUCAUGACGCUGUCAGAGGCAGUUAGCAGAUGUGAAACCCGGGUGGGACGUGCCAGAGCGAUCUCAGGAACGGGGUCGCCGCUGCGGAAGGCGCGCUGCUGCAGCCGGGAGCUGUUGCUUGGCGUCGGCAGUGGCCCGGCUCAUGCUCAGAAGAAGCUCAAGUUCCAGAGGACCCUCGCCUGCAGAGUGUGGGAGAUGCUCUCUCCGGGUCUACAGAUGACCUGUGCCGUAUCUCGUGGUGGGCAGGACGGUGUGGCAUUCUGCCGACCCCCCAAACGAGGGGCAUCCGUGGCUGCUUCUCCCCGGGCCCGUGGGAGCAAGGAAAGGUCUGAGCAUCCAAGGAGGUGCCCUCAGGGCCACUUAGUGGGGGGUUGCCAUUUGACGAAGCUCCAGAUCCCCAUCUCGGCGGCCCAAGUGUGUCCCCGGCCCCGGGGAGGUGGGGUUGACAGUCUCUAGUAAAUAGUGCUCCCCCACCCCACGCUCCCGGACAGAGGCCUGGCCUCGGCCCCAGCACCGUCCUGUCCUGCCUUUGUCCUUGGUGCUUUGGAGCCAGCCCAGUUCCAAGGCAGACUUGGGCCCACCGGGGGCUUCUCACCGUGUUGAGCUAUCCCAACCAGGCAGAAUUCAUUUUUGAGGGUAUGCACACCAAAAUCGAGGUUCUGGAAGUGGCUCCUGUGUGGUUUUUGUCGCUUCUGGACUGAAUAGAAAGAAUGUGCUAAGCAGGGGGACAGGGUCUCACGGACUGCGGUGGGCCAGUGGGAGGCUGGCCCUGGCAUUUCUGCUUUUGUUUUAAACCAGGGCCAGCCCCCAGGUCUUUCCUCGCCUGCUCUUGGGGCCGGGUCCUGCCCAGCCGUUGGCCACUUGAAGCCCUCAGAUCCUGGGUGAGAGGUGUCCUGGGUGCUGGUGGGGUCCAACUGCUCGACACAGGCGAUGUAUGGCGACAAGGCCUCCACUGGGGCCCGGGUGUACACCAUCACCUGAGCAGGUGCGGAUGGCAUUGUGCUGGGCUCCAUGGGAACAGCGGCAGCUUUGUGGCAGGGUCGCUUUCUGGGUCUGUGUCGUUUGCCCCCGAUGGGGCGGCUUAUGAACCGGUCUUGCUUGCUCCCGUCCUCAGAAGGGGCCUGGGGCCUGUUCUGCUCUGGUGUGGAUGAGGCCUGACGGAAAGGCAGUCCCUGGGGCUGAGGGAUGGGGCCUCUGCCUGAGCAAGUGCUCCCUGGUGUCCAGGGAAACCAGUGUGUGUCCCUAGUGAAGGCCAGUGUUUGGGAAGGGAGGGCGGCCCUUGCAGGCCUGUGAGGAAAACAUCUCACAACCAUCAUGCUUGGUUUUUCUCGGGCUUAGACGGUGUCCUUGCAUGUUUGGGGAGAAGGGAGAAGACACUUGCAAGAACCUCAUGAACGGGCUGGGUGUUGGGGUGUCCUGGCUCCCGUGGGGCAGCUCCCAUCUGGCCCUGCCCCUGGCUUACUGUGCGACCCCAGACAAGGUGCCUCACCGCUCCGGGCCUGCACUCUGAGCCCUAGCCCUGGGAAUGAUGACAGCACCGUCAGUGUCCAGACAGCGCUCUCCCCACAAAGCACAGUUCCUGGCACGUGGCAGGGACACCAUAAAGCGUGCUGCUGUUGUAAAUGGUGAUCACUGUGUUUACCCUGAGUGAUGAUUAUAUUCCCGAGUUUCUAAGAACCAGAGUCCAGUUUUGGUUUCUCUCGGAAGGACACCUACGAGUUUACUCCUCACCCCCAAAAGGCGGUGCAAGGUGAACUUUGAUAUUUUCUCCCAGGUGGAAUGCCAGGAAGCUUGCAAAGCCGGACUUCCCUUGUCACAGGGACGUGGCUCGGAGGCAUUGGGGACACUAGAUGGGAGCAAGGCCCCGUGAGGUCCUGGGACAUGUUUACCGAGGAAGGAGGGGAGCCUUCCCACAGAAUGGCACUUGAGGAGCUCAUGUGGGUGCUGACCCGGGGGUCUGACCUGUGCCUCUCACCUCUUUGGGGCUCCAGGGCAGAUCGAGGGCAGGCCGUCACCACUCGGGGUCCAGAGCGGCCACACCAGCUGCCGGCAUUCGAUCUCGCAACGCGGGUGGCGAUUUGGUGGGAGGGUUUCACUGCCGGUGAGCUAAUUGUUCUUUGGCCAAAUAUAAGCACGCAUUUCCCAGAACGCUUCGUUGAGGAGAAUCUGCUCUCUUCGCCGAUGGUUCAGGAAGACCCAGCAAGAUGGCCCUUUCUCAGAACGCGCUGUUGGGAUGAGAAGGGAGCCUGGGCAUCGGACGGGCAUGCUGAUGUGUCGGAGCAGAGGAGGGGAAAACGCAACAAUUGUCUCCAAGCCAAGACAAUGGAUCUUUUAUAUGAAAUACUUAUUUUCAGGGCUGACCAGUGCCCUGUUGGCUGGGACGGCAAACCUUGAGUAUCUGGGUGUCACAGGCCCCAAGAACCCAGUCAGGGACGGAGAUUUCUAGAAAGGGGAAAAGGAAAGUCCCCUGACCCCCGAUUCUUGGGAAAUGCAGUGGGAACGCCUGGCUUUCUUUGUUGAGUGGAGGCUAAACUUUCUCAAGUUUAAUUCUUUCCUUCCGGGAUCUCUUUCGCAAGACUGUGGGGGCUCCUCGCAAGCACCGGAAAGGUAGCCAGGGUUCUGGUGGUGAGCUGGAUGAUUUGCAGGGUUCUGGUGGUGAGCUGGAUGGCCCCUGCCAGGGGCCAGACCUGAUGAACCUUUGUCUGCUGGGGGGCAUGGGAGGCUUGGGGGGAGUAGUCAUCCAAUGGAAGUGAGGAAAACCGGGACUCUUAAGAGGAAGGGUCCAUCUUCCCAGGAGGAGGCCAUCGAGAGUGAUUCCGGAUGAAUCUGUGGUUCUCUGGGGCCCUUCGCUCCUCCCAGAGCCCAUGGUCCAGUGCACUUGGGAGCAGCGUGUGGGUUAUCAGAGAGCCUGGCCUGCCGUGGUGAAGCCACACGCCGACCCUCACAUUCCGUCCCCGGCUGGAGAGGGUGUGUUUGUAACUCCUGACGGCCUGGCCCAGAGUUAGCCCUGGAAGGAUGGCUUUCUGAAUGACCAAAACGAACAGAGGGUCACUCUGAGGCUUAGGCACCCGCCGUCUGCCUCUUCCCCACUCUGCCGCCAUGGAUAGCGUUCAGUCCUGCUAAAUCCACUGCCUCCACUCAGCUGGGAAGGCACCCCAAGAAGCGGGGCCCGGCCCCCAGGCUCCCGUUAGGGACUCGGAGGAACGGAUCCAGCUGGGGCCGGAACUGAGAGCGUCUUCCUGGCGUUGGGGGGACGUGGGGAAGUCUGCGGGGAUAAUCGGCCUGGGAUCCCUGCCAGCUCGGGGGGUCCUGAGUCUGGGCGCCCCUGCGAAGCGGGUGAGGACAGGGGAGGGAGUGGCCCCCGGGGGGGGGGUGAGGGAUGAGAGUCCCCUCCCCACCAAACGUCCCCUUCACCCACGAGUCUUUGUUGGCAAAUGAUAAUAUUCGGCUUUCAAAAAGGAGGUUUCGUUUUUUAAAACUGCUUUUACAUGGGGUUUUUUGGUUUGGGUUUUUUUGGAUCCUGGAACUGCUUCGCUCUGGUCUGUUUCACCUGCCCCCCCCCCCGCCCCGAAAUGCUAUCAAGAGUCUCUUUUGGGAGUGACCAAAACGACGUCCGAGGCCCCGUGUCGAUUUGGUAAAAUCGAAGUGGAAAGGGCUGGAACGGUGUGUCAGGGGGCAGAACACCCUCGGAGAUGGGCUUUUAUUCUGGUGGCUGGGGCAGCCCCCGAAGUAGAUGGCCGAGGGUCUCACUGUGAGAUCUGGAUGGUGGACUUGUUCGCGCCGGAUUCCGGACGCGUCCAAAACCCGUGUGGCUGCGGUGGGCGGCCGAGAGGUGGCUUCUCCGAGGAGACGUGUGAGAGCAGAGGCAAUGGCUGUUAUCGUGGUCAGAAACGUGUGCAUGGCGUGGACGAAGUGAAACAGCUUCUCUUUCUUUUUUCUUUUCUUUUCUUUUUUUUUUUUUAAGGAGUGAUAGUAUUUUCCCUUAAGAUUUAAAAAGGAAUGUUGACCCUGAUCCCUUUGGCUUCUAGAGCUGGGGCUGGGUUUUUGGGCGGCGAACCGCCCUUCCUUAAUCCUGGCAUCUCAGACGGCAGGAAGAGUGUUUAGCUGAAAUAUUUACCUGCUUGGUCUGGGGCUCUUAAAUCUCGAUUCGCCUUUCAUGUGUUUAACAGCGAUAUUUACACCCAAAUCAGCGCUUUAUAAUCACAUUUUAAGUUAUAAUAAAACGAUGGUGCCGGCUUUGUUGGCAGCCGGAGCGCGUUCCAUGCGGGUGGCGUCCCCUCACCCAGACCGGCCUGGGCUCCGAGGGGGCGCCAGACACGCGGGUUCUGGCCUGCGGGGACACACGUGUGUACUGAGCAUGACAGGGUCUGUGCGUGUCACCUGUGGCGCCCUCCCCGCUCGGCCAGGGGGAGCAGGGCUCGUCCCUGGGGAUUCUGGCCCUGGCACAGGGGCAGUGCUGCCAAACCUUCCGGCACGGGGCUCUAACCAAGAAGGACCUGAUUUGGGCCUGGCUGCUCUGCCACCCGGACCGACGUGUUGUGUCCUGAGCCCCAUGCUGGGGCAGAGGCCAUUAUCUCCUGGGCAGCCUCUGGCCCAGCAAAGGCCACUUCUGGUUGUGGCCAUAUUGUGUAGCCCUGUGCUGGGGUAAGGGACGCCCACUGCCUCUGCCUCCGUAACAACUGAGGUUCUGUUUUCUCUCUUCGGUGAGGGGCCGGCCCCAAAAUGGCCACCUGGUUUUCAGUGGCUUUCCCACUGGAGCAUGGGAGGUAGGGGGACCCUCUCCUCCCCGGGGGCCAGGCUUUUGGCGGCUGUGCCAAGCCGUUCUUGGAAUGGAAUUGCCCACGUUCCUGGUUAGGCGCGUGGCACCGGAAUCCUACCUGCUUUGUCUCUGGCAUCAGCUGGUGAGCUGGUCACGUGGUGGUGUGCGUGAGACCAGAGCCCAAGGACCAGAGGACUCCUCCUGGCCUGCUCCCUUCUUUCUCAGUCGCCUUGCCACCUCCCACCCCCUCCUUUUUGGGCAUGACCGUGUCUGAGCCUGCGCUCCCAUCCCCAGAUGCUCAGGUGUCUAGACAGUCCCUUACCCCCAGUCCUUACCGGCAGAAGGGCCCCUGAGCUGGAGGACAGGCCUAGCCACGGCCAGUCCAUGCUGUGCCCUCCGCUCGAGCACAGAGCUGGCCCUGCCUGCCUGGGGAGGCCCUGUCUCACACUGACAGCCCCAUGGCUCCCCGUGCACGGGGAUAGCAAGUGCCUGGCCACAUAAAGGGUCGAAGGAGAGACUUGGGCAGAUAGCACAGCCCCACGGACGUGGCCCGGAUGCCUUCAGCAAAGGACAGCCAGAUCUGGUGAAUCUCCAAAUAGAAGCUCCAAGUUAAACCCUCUGGCCCGCCGACAGGUUCUGAGGGCCAUAGCCCGGGCACACUCCACUGUGGUCCCGUGUGGUGGCCAGGAUUGGCUUUGGCAGAGCUGAGGGGUCUGUGAUGGCCUGAGAGCGUGUGGUGGCACGCCUGGACUCUGGACGCCGGGGCUUUCGUGGCGGCCCAGCUGCUUGGCAGCGCCUCUGGGCGAAGCGGCCGGCUCCUGAGCACCAGUGGGGUGCCCGGCCUGGUGCUCAGCCCUCCGUGUGCGUUUUUCCUUCUGUCCUCCAGCAGGAGCUGUUAUCCCCGUUCCUUCUGUGCACGGGGAAACUGAGGCUCAGAGAGCUGCCACAGCCCAGGGCCAGGCGGCCCCUUGGACAUAAGGCCGAUGCCGACCCCUGGCGGCUCAGCCUCUCGGGGCAUGGUUGGAACGGGCUUGCUCCGAGGCCGGGGGUCCAGGGAGCGGUCGGGGGGGGGGCCCUGGGCCUCGCCUCCCCCCUUCCAUCCCCGGGGAGCACGCCGGGUGCUGGCCGCCGCCGCCUGCUCCUCCUCGGCCGGCCCGGGAACAAUGCGGCCUCUAUGCCCGCAGCGGGCCCGGGCCGCCUGGACUCGGGAGCAACAUGGCGCCCAGGGCCGCGCCGCCUGGCCACGGGGAGGGCUGGCGCCUGGGCCGCGCCUGGGCCGGGCCGGCUCCCCGGUCCUCCUCGGGCCAGCCGCUGAGUGGCCAGCCGCGCCUGCUGCCUCCUCCCUCUCCCACUCGGGCGCCCCCCCCCCGCCGCCCCCGCCUGGUGGUGGGUUCGGGGGUCCGGCCCACCCGCCUCUGCCACGUCUGCCAUCCUCCCGGCACCCAGGAGCAUCUUUCAAAAAUUCCCGGUGGGCGGGGCCGAGCCGCAGCGGCCGCCUCUGGCCCCCCCCUCCCCGGGCAGCCAGUGCCAGAUGAGAGCAGGAGACAAAAGUAGCAUUUUCCUCGUCCUCCUGGGCUGGAGCAGAGCCUCCCCCAGCACCACUUGGCUCCUGGCAGCCCUGCCUCCUGGUGCCGGGGUGGCCGAGGCCCAGGCCGCGCCGGCCAGGACAGAGGGGACCGAUGGACAAGGGUGACUGGAGAGCAGGACGCCCGAGGGCCCGUCGGACCGGGGCUGGCACCUGGGGACGGCCUGCUGGCCGGCGGGACCUGCCCUCCUCCUCCUGCCACCCUGCCCAGCCGGGCCAGGAGGCACCCUUUCCACUUCCUUGCUCUGGAGAAAGCUCCUCACGUCCUCCCGCACCUUGGCCUCUCGACCCGGGUCUUGGCAUCAGACCUGUACUCACGAGCAGCCCCGGGAACACGGCGCCGGGCUGGGUGCUCCCGCAGGAGUGGGCAAGGUGAACCCCGCACCUUGCUCGUUCGGCGAAGCCAAGGGCAGAAGAGCAGGACCUCCGGGACCCAGGCCAGGGUUCAGUCGGAGUCGGUGUUAGUUCCCGGCCGUGUCUGUCAAAGGCAAGUCAUCGCACCUCUCCGUGUCCCCGUUUCCUCAUCUGUGAAACGGGGACAGUAAGCGUCCCCACCUCAUAGUCAUGCACGGAAUGCGCUUAGCCCAGCGCUCCGUUCCCAGAGAGCACCCCAUACCCACUGUUCGUUCUUGGUUGGUUUCUGAGUCUCAGAAAUGCCUGCCAGAUGGGGGUUAACGCCAGUUGUGUUGGGCCAGGGGAGGCCCCCGGCCUGAAGCCGAGGCCCUAGACUCAGCCGGCUGGCGACGGUCAGGAUGGGGGUCGGACCUGGGCCUGCCGUCCGCUGAAGCCCACCUUCGUUCUGCACGUCCACACGGUGUCCAGGUGUGGAUGGCGCACCUUUGCCCGGGCGUGGGCUCCACGGUGUGCGCACACGGGUAGUGCCCUCUGCUCUGCCUGGUACGUCGGGGGUUUCCAGAGGUGGACAGGCAUUUGGAGGCACCGUGCCUGCCCCAGGCUUCUCAGUGAGCCAUGGAGCCCCUGGGCCAUCCCUGGGGACACCUGCUGGGCACUCCAUGACAGAGGUCCUCUUCCCCAGCCCAGGGCCAGCCAGAGCAGGCUGGACAGGGCCCCAAGCUGCUGGGCUCCCGGGAGGUGAAGGAAGGCCUGCUGGCCGGCCUGGCUGCACGCGGGGAGCCGGCCAGGCGCAGAGCGGUCCCCUUGGAGGGCCGGGCUGUUCCAGGCACCGGCCAUUUACAGACGCUGAGGAGUGGAAGUGAGCCUCUAGGCCCGGGAGAGGAAAUGGCGGCACGGGCAGGCCCAGAACGGGAUCCGGGAAGGUGGCCGAGGGCGGGGAGCGGCCGGAAGGCACAGGGUGGGCCGCUGGGUGCGCUGGCGGCUGUGCUGCGAGGAGCGGCCCGCGGCGGCCCGCGGGGCCAGUCUUCCCGGGCAGGUCCGAGCGCUUGCACGUGCAUGUGCACCUGCGUGCAAGGCCCCGAGAAGCUUCCACGGCCCCGCUUGCUCAUCAGUAACGGGGAGAGUCUGGGGGCGGUCCAAGGAGGCCCUGGGAACGCCCAGCACACCUUUGGACAAAAAAAAGGAGCUUUGAGGAGAAUGAUAUUUACUGCGGGUCUUAGUUCUGUGUCUUCAAAGCUCGGGAAAUGGUCCGACAUGUCAGAUGGGAGCCUGUUUGGGAGGCCCCAGGGGGCUUGUGUGUCCCCUCUUUGUGGCCUCUUAGCAGAGACCAGAGGCCUGGACUCUCCAUCCCUGCCUCAGUUUCCCUGUCCAUAAAGCAUGGGGAUCAGUCCUGCCCACAGGUUUCUCGUGGCCUCCAAGGUGAUGAGGUCACUCACCACUGAUCCCCCUUAAAGGGAAGCAGUUGUUGGUGGCUCCCCAGGACUCUGGCUUCUGAGUUUCUUGAGGGGCUAGAAGGGAGGUUGAGGCCAGACCUUUUGAAGGGAGCAGCUGGUGGGGGGGUGGGCGGCGGAGGCCAGGCUGCUCCAGCAUGUGCUGGGGAACCUCUGGCCCAGUUUCCUGGGAGCCCAGCCCUGCCCCGGGAUUCCUGCAGUGGGUGUGCCCGCACUUCCGGCCGGCGUGGGCGGAGGGGUCCCGCCGCAGCUGAGUUCCCGCCGUUCCCGCCCGCCAGAGCCUCCUGGUUGUGUAGCUGCUUCUGGCUCGAUGGGACGAGGACUCCCACCUGAGCGUGGCACGUGGGGUCCAGGCAGGUGGCCCCCGGCCCGCCGGCCGUGUACGGGCCUGGGGGACAUGGCAGCGGUGGCCGCAGCAGCAGGGGUAGAGGAGGCGCCCUCCAGCUGGAGUCUUUGCGGUGAUGAUCACCCAAAGGGUAAGUUGCCUGAUGCCAGGACCUUUGGAGGCUCCCAGCACCGGUGGGUGGGUCUCUAGGGUCUCAGGCCUCAGCCCUGGGUGCUCUAGCGCCGGAGGUGAGCCCUGUUCCCCAAGAUGCAGUCAUGCGGGCAGCCCGUUGGCAGCCUGGCCUGUGUGACAAUGCCGGCGGCGGCUCUGGGAGGUGGCUUCCAGGUGGGCGCUCCUGAGCCGGGUUUCGUGGCAGGCCACCACAGCCUUAGCGGACACCCCAGGGGAAGGGUAUGGCCACUACCUCGAGUGUCCCGCUGCCAGGGGAAGAGUAAGUAAGACAGGCUCAGGCAGGACCCAUGAAGGGACCCAGAGAGGCAGAAACCCCUGCCUCAGCCCAGCGGGGAAUUGGGGGCCGUGCUUCGCUCCCCCAAGGGAGGAUCAGCGCUUGUCAGAUGUUACACAGAGGACCGGGUUCCUUGGGGUUGGAGCAGCUGUCCUUUGUUGACCUACUAUGUGCCAGGCUCAGGGCUGGGUACUUCGAUCCUACUUAUUUAUUUAUCUUUAAGAUUUUAUUUAUUUAUUUAUUUGAAAGAUAGAGCACAAGC